Molecule: unclassified non-coding RNA, 234 nt
Filed under: plant metagenome
Description: partial contains small subunit ribosomal RNA, internal transcribed spacer 1, and 5.8S ribosomal RNA
Source: RNAcentral
UUUCCGUAGGUGAACCUGCGGAAGGAUCAUUAAUGUGUUUGGGCCUCACGGCUCUUCAUUCCGACGCUGUGCGCCUUCGGGCUGCACGCUGAGGGAGCAUAUAUCCACCCCUGUGCACACACACGGUGGCGAGCUGGGAAACGGCUCGCCGCUGAUCUUUACACACGUCUAAAAGUCAUUGUAUGUUUAUUUGAGAUAAAAACACAACUUUCAGCAACGGAUCUCUUGGCUCUC